Molecule: unclassified non-coding RNA, 947 nt
Filed under: uncultured Bordetella sp.
Lineage: Bacteria; Pseudomonadati; Pseudomonadota; Betaproteobacteria; Burkholderiales; Alcaligenaceae
Description: partial 16S-23S ribosomal RNA intergenic spacer
Rfam family: Bacterial small subunit ribosomal RNA
Source: RNAcentral
GGUUCGAUUAUGGCUCAGAUUGAACGCUGGCGGGAUGCUUUACACAUGCAAGUCGAACGGCAGCACGGACUUCGGUCUGGUGGCGAGUGGCGAACGGGUGAGUAAUGUAUCGGAACGUGCCUAGUAGCGGGGGAUAACUACGCGAAAGCGUAGCUAAUACCGCAUACGCCCUUCGGGGAAAAAAGCGGGGGGACCUUCGGGCCUCGCACUAUUAGGAGCGGCCGAUAUCGGAUUAGCUAGUUGGUGGGGUAACGGCUCACCAAGGCGACGAUCCGCAGCUGGUUUGAGAGGACGACCAGCCACACUGGGACUGGAGACACGGCCCAGACUCCUACGGGAGGCAGCAGUGGGGAAUUUUGGACAAUGGGGGAAACCCUGAUCCAGCCAUCCCGCGUGUGCGAUGAAGGCCUUCGGGUUGUAAAGCACUUGGCAGGAGGCGAAACGGGCACGAUAAUACCCCGUGCAACUGACGGUACCCGCAGAAUAAGCACCGGCUAACUACGCCAGCAGCCGCGGUAAUACGUAGGGUGCAAGCGUUAAUCGGAAUUACUGGGCGUAAAGCGUGCGCAGGCGGUUCGGAAAGAAAGAUGUGAAAUCCCAGAGCUUAACUUUGGAACCGCAUUUUUAACUACCGAGCUAGAGUGUGUCAGGAGGGGAGGUGGAAUUCCGCGUGUAGCAGUGAAAUGCGUAGAUAUGCGGAGGAACACCGAUGGCGAAGGCAGCCUCCUGGGAUAACACUGACGCUCAUGCACGAAAGCGUGGGGAGCAAACAGGAUUAGAUACUCCUGGUGUCCACGCCCUAAACGAUGUCAACUAGCUGUUGGGGCCUCUGGGCCUUGGUAGCGCAGCUAACGCGUGAAGUUGGAUCAGUUCGGGGAGCAUAUCAGGAUUAAAACUCAAAGGAAUUGACGGGGACCCGCACAAGCGGUGGAUGAUGCGGAUUAAUU